RNAcentral lists this long non-coding RNA (479 nucleotides) under Mytilus galloprovincialis (Mediterranean mussel). The record is from RNAcentral. Lineage: Eukaryota; Metazoa; Mollusca; Bivalvia; Mytilida; Mytilidae.
UCAUUGUUUUGAUUUUGACCGCCUGACAACUUUACGGAAAUAUCAAAGUGAUUGUAAAUAAGGACUCUGUGACGGGCAACUUAUUAUACCCGUGUUUUAAAGAUUUUAAUGAUAUCAAGCCUAUAAAGCCAGUCCAGUUCAAAGUACUAUCACGUGGUACAAUUCUCAUUUACAUAUUAUGAAUAUUAAUUAGCAAAACCACUACUAAUUUCUGGCUAUGCCAUAUUGGUCUCUUGUGGAGAGUUGUCUCAACAUGGCAAUCAUACCACAUCUUCUUUUUUUGUAAUCAAUGAAUUUUGUAAAAGAUUUAAUGACUGGAGAAUUUCAGAAAAGGUAUCAAAAGUUCACAUGAAUAUUUUUAGCGCUUAUCUGUAUAUUAUGAACAUUCAUUACUAUAUAAAUAUAGUGUAUUUACUUUCAAUUCUAAGUUUACUAAUCGAUCCAUGGUGGUCAUUGAUAUAGUAUACAGACCCUCUCUA